AUACCUUCAUCUUCACUUAACCCCUUCUUAACAAAGAGCAAUUCUAUAUCUCUAUAGAAAAUUUUAUGUUAAAACUAGUAAUAAGAAGCUAGCCCUUCUCUUUAAUGCAAACUUACAUCAGCCAGGACACCCCACUGAUUAUUAACGUCCCUAAAACCAUUGUAAUAACUAAUCAAGAAAAUAUUACCUUCUCCUACGUUAACCUAACACAAGAGCAUUUUAAGAAAGAUUAAAAGAAAAAGAAGGAACUCGGCAAAUUUUAGCCUCGCCUGUUUACCAAAAACAUCGCCUCUUGAGUACUAAUAAGAGGUCAUGCCUGCCCAGUGACUCUGUUCAACGGCCGCGGUAUCCUAACCGUGCGAAGGUAGCGUAAUCACUUGUUCUUUAAA
This 389-nucleotide ribosomal RNA is filed under the name Leucostethus fraterdanieli (Santa Rita rocket frog). Its description in RNAcentral is "partial 16S ribosomal RNA". The record is from RNAcentral. Lineage: Eukaryota; Metazoa; Chordata; Amphibia; Anura; Dendrobatidae.